RNAcentral lists this ribosomal RNA (515 nucleotides) under uncultured bacterium. RNAcentral's name for it is "partial 16S ribosomal RNA". It matches the Rfam family "Bacterial small subunit ribosomal RNA", at positions 28 to 523 of the family's 1533-position model. The record is from RNAcentral.
GAUGAACGCUGGCGGCGCGCCUAAUACAUGCAAGUCGAGCGAAUGGAUUAAGAGCUUGCUCUUAUGAAGUUAGCGGCGGACGGGUGAGUAACACGUGGGUAACCUGCCCAUAAGACUGGGAUAACUCCGGGAAACCGGGGCUAAUACCGGAUAAUAUUUUGAACUGCAUGGUUCAAAAUUGAAAGGCGGCUUCGGCUGUCACUUAUGGAUGGACACGCGUCGCAUUAGCUAGUUGGUGAGGUAACGGCUCACAAAGACAACGAUGCGUAGCCGACCUGAGAGGGUGAUCGGCCACACUGGGACUGAGACACGGCCCAGACUCCUACGGGAGGCAGCAGUAGGGAAUCUUCCGCAAUGGACGAAAGUCUGACGGAGCAACGCCGCGUGAGUGAUGAAGGCUUUCGGGUCGUAAAACUCUGUUGUUAGGGAAGAACAAGUGCUAGUUGAAUAAGCUGGCACCUUGACGGUACCUAACCAGAAAGCCACGGCUAACUACGUGCCAGCAGCCGCCGUAA